AUGCAGCAACGCCGCGUGAGGGACGACGGCCUUCGGGUUGUAAACCUCUUUUAGUAGGGAAGAAGCGAAAGUGACGGUACCUGCAGAAAAAGCACCGGCUAACUACGUGCCAGCAGCCGCGGUAAUACGUAGGGUGCAAGCGUUGUCCGGAAUUAUUGGGCGUAAAGAGCUCGUAGGCGGUUUGUCGCGUCUGCUGUGAAAACCCGAGGCUCAACCUCGGGCCUGCAGUGGGUACGGGCAGACUAGAGUGCGGUAGGGGAGAUUGGAAUUCCUGGUGUAGCGGUGGAAUGCGCAGAUAUCAGGAGGAACACCAAUGGCGAAGGCAGAUCUCUGGGCCGUAACUGACGCUGAGGAGCGAAAGCAUGGGGAGCGAACAGGAUUAGAUACCCUGGUAGUCCAUGCCGUAAACGUUGGGAACUAGAUGUGGGGACCAUUCCACGGUCUCCGUGUCGCAGCUAACGCAUUAAGUUCCCCGCCUGGGGAGUACGGCCGCAAGGCUAAAACUCAAAGGAAUUGACGGGGGCCCGCACAAGCGGCGGAGCAUGCGGAUUAAUUCGAUGCAACGCGAAGAACCUUACCAAGGCUUGACAUAUAGAGGAAACGGCUGGAAACAGUCGCCCCGCAAGGUCUCUAUACAGGUGGUGCAUGGUUGUCGUCAGCUCGUGUCGUGAGAUGUUGGGUUAAGUCCGCAACGAGCGCAACCCUCGUNCUAUGUUGCCAGCACGUAAUGGUGGGAACUCAUGGGAUACUGCCGGGGUCAACUCGGAGGAAGGUGGGGAUGACGUCAAAUCAUCAUGCCCCUUAUGUCUUGGGCUUCACGCAUGCUACAAUGGCCGGUACAAAGGGCUGCAAUACCGCAAGGUGGAGCGAAUCCCAAAAAGCCGGUCUCAGUUCGGAUUGAGGUCUGCAACUCGACCUCAUGAAGUCG
Molecule: ribosomal RNA, 928 nt
Filed under: Antarctic soil bacterium 2-1
Lineage: Bacteria
Description: bacterial SSU rRNA
Rfam family: Bacterial small subunit ribosomal RNA
Source: RNAcentral